AAGUGUUAGUUCAGGUAACGAAACUGCGAACAGCUCAUUAACACACUUAGGAUCUAGUUGAUUGCGACUAAUUUAGUCAUAAAUGGAUAGCAGGAGUAAUUCUCGUGCUAAUACAUGCAAUUGUUACAUCAGAAAUGAAAUAUGAUGUAAAAGUUUACCUUUUUAGGAAAAUCAUAUGAUUGAGUGACCUAUCAGCUAAUACUUAGGGUCUUUUCCUAUGUAGGCUAUCACGGGUACCGGGCGGUUGCCGUCGUACUGCCGGAGAAGGCGCCUGAGAGAUAGCGACUAUGCCUACGGGCAGCAGCAGGCGCGAAACUUACCCACUCGACGACGUCGGAGGUGGUUAUGACCAGUUCUUAUUUGAGCUUCGGUUCAAAUUGGAUAGGAUAAUAAAUAGAUAUCAUUAUGUAAUCUAGCAGAGGGCCAGUCUGGUGCCAGCAGCUGCGGUAAUUCCAGCUCUGCGAGUUUGCUCCCAUAUUGUUGCAGUUAAAACGCCCGUAGUCUGAAAUCUAAUCUUGAAUAGGCAAAUUGCCGUUCACUGUGAACAAAUCAGGACGCUUAGAGUAAGUCUACAUGAAUGAUCUAGCACAGUCUGAAUAAUUUGCUUUUAUUAGCAAAAUCAAAGAGAACCAUUGGGGGUAGUUCUAUUUCAUGGCGAACGGUGGAAUGUUUUGACCCAUGAGAGAGAAACGAAAGCGAAGGCAACUACCUAGAGGGUAUCUAUCGAUCAAGGGCGAGAGUAGGAGUAGCGAACCGGAUUAGAGACCCGGGUAGUUCCUACAGUAAACGAUGUCGACAGGGGAUUGGUUUAAAGAUUAAAUCAGCACCCUAAGAGAAAUCAUAGUUCAUGGACUCUGGGGGAACUACGAUCGCAAGACUGAAACUUGAAGGAAUUGACGGAAGGGCACACAAGGGGUGGAGCCUGUGGCUUAAUUUGAAUCAACAUGGGGGGGAAACUUACCAGGACAAAAUGAUAUGGUGACUGACGUUUUGAAGAGCUUUCAGGAUAUGUUUGUGGGCGGUGCAUGGCCGUUGGUGGUGCGUGGGUUGACCUGUCUAGCGUUGAUUCAGGUAACGAGCGAGAUUACCGCCAAAUAAUAGGGAAUUAAAAUAUUGAAUUGAUAAUUCAUACUUCUAUUUGGAACUGCCUGGUUUAAAACAGGAGGAAGGUGGUAGCAAUAACAGGUCCGUGAUGUCCUUCAGAUGCUCUGGGCUGCACGCGUGCUACAAUGUGAAUAUCAAAUGGAAAAUGCUACUUUGAUAAAAGAUACUACUCCAUAAUGAUUCACGUAGUUGGGAUUGAAGAUUGUAAUCAUUUUCAUGAACUAGGAAUUCCUUGUAAGCGUGUGUCAACAACGCACGUUGAAUACGUCCCUGCCCUUUGUACACACCGCCCGUCGCUCCUACCGAUCAAAUGACCUGGUGAAAUUGUCAGAUCUUAUUUUUAGAAAAGACAUUUAAAUCAUGUUGUCUA
This 1474-nucleotide ribosomal RNA is filed under the name Hoplonympha natator. RNAcentral describes it as "SSU rRNA". It matches the Rfam family "Eukaryotic small subunit ribosomal RNA". Lineage: Eukaryota; Parabasalia; Trichonymphida; Hoplonymphidae. The record is from RNAcentral.